CAGGAUUAGAUACCCUGGUAGUCCAGCCGUAAACGAUGAUUGCUAGUUGUCGGGAACCUUGCUGUCUGGGUGGCGCAGCUAACGCAUUAAGUUAUCCGCCUGGGGAGUACGGUCGCAAGAUUAAAACUCAAAGGAAUUGACGGGGGCCUGCACAAGCGGUGGAGCAUGUGGUUUAAUUCGAAGCAACGCGCAGAACCUUACCAGCCUUUGACAUCCCGCGCUAUCCAGAGAGAUUUGGMGUUUCCUUCGGGACKMGGWSACAGGUGCUGCAUGGCUGUCGUCAGCU
RNAcentral lists this ribosomal RNA (286 nucleotides) under uncultured bacterium. Its description in RNAcentral is "partial 16S ribosomal RNA". It matches the Rfam family "Bacterial small subunit ribosomal RNA", at positions 773 to 1060 of the family's 1533-position model. The record is from RNAcentral.